Molecule: ribosomal RNA, 315 nt
Filed under: uncultured Rikenellaceae bacterium
Lineage: Bacteria; Pseudomonadati; Bacteroidota; Bacteroidia; Bacteroidales; Rikenellaceae
Description: bacterial SSU rRNA
Rfam family: Bacterial small subunit ribosomal RNA
Source: RNAcentral
CGUGAGUGUCGGGUUAAGUCCCAUAACGAGCGCAACCCCUACUGCUAGUUGCCAGCGGGUCAUGCCGGGGACUCUAGCGGAACUGCCAGCGUAAGCUGCGAGGAAGGUGGGGAUGACGUCAAAUCAGCACGGCCCUUACGUCCAGGGCUACACACGUGUUACAAUGGCCAGUACAGAGGGCAGCCACCCCGCGAGGGGGCGCUAAUCCUAAAAGCUGGUCCCAGUUCGGAUCGGAGUCUGCAACCCGACUCCGUGAAGCUGGAUUCGCUAGUAAUCGCGCAUCAGCCACGGCGCGGUGAAUACGUUCCGGGCCUU